CUUAUUACUGAGCUAAUUCACAAGAGGCCUCCUCGAUCCUUACUCAGAUACGUUCUAACUACUGGGGCCUUUCAUCAAGGUUUGCUAAGGACAGGUAUAUAUUUGGCAAUACAAAAUUAGUCAGUUUUUAAAAUUUUUUUUAUAUGCAGAUUGAUGAUUUCAUUUAAACCCAACAUAUUCAGGUAUACUUGAAGUUGCCUUGGACUAGAUACAUUAUGAUAAUGGGAAGACAAAACACAAAUAUUUCACUAGCAAAGGAAAGAGCAGUCUGUUUAAAUUUGCCCUGCAUUGCAUCAUAAAUGUUUUGAAAACAAUCUAUAUGUAAAAUAUGUUUGUUUUUUCAGUUUGUUUCAAAUUAAAUUUUGUAAGGGGUACCAAAGUCAAACAUAUCCAUUCAUUAUAAACAGGUAUUGCAUUGCAGCCAAUAUUAUUUUCAUAUUAACCCUUAGAAGACAGCGGUGUUUGAGGAGUAGCUCCCCAAAAAUAAAUGGUCUAUACUCUAUACAUAUAGUCAUUGCCGACCUUAGGACCGUAGCAUAAAUAUAUAUAUAGUUACUCUGCAUAAUACGUAGAUAUUUUUUUGUAUCGUCUACUAUAGAUCCUACCGCAAUCUCUAAGUGUUGUUAUAUUUCUGCCAUUCAAAACUGACUGACUGAAUUUAGGACUGUCUAUGUAUAUUUCCACUGCUGUCUAAGGGUUAAAAAUUAUAUAAAUUUUUAAGGUCUGUUGCUUUCUUUCAUUACAUUACAUUUUGUAUUGAUUAACAAUAAUUAGUUAAAAUUACCAUGUUUUUACUGCAGGUGCCUCCAGUGGGUGAAAGCCUUGAAAAUUGGCUUUCAAAAGCAUACUCAAGCCAUCUGUAGUGACCACUUUGAUGGGGUUCAUUUUGGCAGCAAGGGCCAGCUGCUGCCGACUGCAACCCCACGUCACACAGAUGGCCAUGAGGAGCAACCACCCACUGGGUUCCCGGCAUCAUCCCACAAUGCAGCCGCCAUUGACUUGGAGCCAAUGGAGUUGGAACUCUCCUCUACACAGAUUGUGCUGCCACAUUAUGAUCCGAACACAGGUUUCGGUAAUACCCAAGAGAAUGUGGCAGCCCAAGAGGAGAGUCCAAGAAAGAGGCCACGAGUGGAGCUGAACAGAACUCAGCCACCCCCAGAGGAAUGUGGCAUUAUCCAACCCCACACACAGCUGCUCAGUGUCCCCCAAGCCACAUAUGAAAAUAAUGAGCUGCAGCCUGACACUGAUGAGUGUGCUCCCCAUUGCACUGCACCAGCUCCACGUGCUGAUUUUGGGUGUGAAACUGAAGGGGUUGGAGGAAACCCGACUCGGCCAUCAAGCUCACCAAAAUACAGUAAGCAACCUCUUGUGCUCAGUGAUAAUUU
Molecule: long non-coding RNA, 1385 nt
Organism: Eriocheir sinensis (Chinese mitten crab)
Lineage: Eukaryota; Metazoa; Arthropoda; Malacostraca; Decapoda; Varunidae
Exons: 5
Source: RefSeq, a predicted model, not a curated record